UUUCCGGGAGAAUAGAGAAUCGUGUGAGAAUCACGGACGGUACCGCCACUGUAUGGAGGGAGGCACUGCACUUGACGAAAGUCGGUCAUUGGGACUUUUCCUGAGAAGGCCGUGCAGCGCUGAAGAUUUCCAAGUCAGGAGACCUGCUCAGAC
This 153-nucleotide non-coding RNA is filed under the name uncultured Faecousia sp. The record is from RNAcentral. Lineage: Bacteria; Bacillati; Bacillota; Clostridia; Eubacteriales; Oscillospiraceae.